RNAcentral lists this ribosomal RNA (237 nucleotides) under uncultured bacterium. RNAcentral's name for it is "partial 16S ribosomal RNA". It matches the Rfam family "Bacterial small subunit ribosomal RNA", at positions 118 to 347 of the family's 1533-position model. The record is from RNAcentral.
UGAGUAACCUGCCCUUAACUCUGGGAUAAGCCUGGGAAACUGGGUCUAAUACCGGAUAUGACUCCUCAUCGCAUGGUGGGGUGUGGAAAGUCUUUUUGUGGUUUUGGAUGGACUCGCGGCCUAUCAGCUUGUUGGUGAGGUAAUGGCUCACCAAGGCGACGACGGGUAGCCGGCCUGAGGAGGGUGACCGGCCACACGUGGGACUGAGACACGGCCCAGACCUCCGUACGGGAGCAG